AUCAGUGGUAAUAUAGCCAGUCAUUUCCAAGGUCAAUGGCUGUGGUCUCAGACCUUUUGCUUUGGAAAGGGAAGAUAGGACCUUUGCAGAAGCUCCCCUCUGUAGGGUGCCUUCUGCUUAACAGGCAAAGCAAGGAGGAAGCUGACAAUUGGUGGCUGCAGCACUAAGAGUUGGAGCACAUAAAAUGGGACAAUACAACUGUAAUCCAUGGUAGAUGUUUUUAUGGCUUAGGUGUAAACGAAUAGCAAUCCAUCAGCACAACCCUGUCAGAGAGCAAACUUUUGCAAAUAAAUAGCCACACUUGGCAGGCAUGAGAUCCUGCAUCUGUGGUGAAAACUGCAGAGAUAGUACUAUGAAACAGCCAGUACCCAUUUAUUAACUUUUUUCUUCCUUUCUGGCAGCCAUUUUGGAAAGCAAGUGACUGGUAACAGCCAAGGCAUAGAGAAAGAGAAGUGAGCAAUGGAAAGAAAUUCAAGACUUUCUAUCUUUAACUGAAGAUGACCCCCUGUGGAAUACAUAAAAGUCCAGUGACAUUCUCUUGCCAACUGCUUGAUUUCAGAUCCUGUCUUGCAAGAUGCUGGAGGUUCCUCUUACUGGGACAGAUCCAUCUAAUGACUCAGGAAAGGCAUCCAUCAUUAAUGAGAUAUAGCACAUUAUUCAGUGAAAAGAGAAAGCUUGAAUCUGAAAGCAAAACAUCUGAGGCUCUGAGCAGGAAAGUAAGCCUGUGUAGGAACAAAAAAUCCCCCUGAAACUGAUGGAAGAUAUGUGUAAACAUGGACUGUAAAUCUGGCUUUUAAAUUGUCUGCUGCAGUGGAGGUAAGAAUUGUAGUUCCUGUGUUGGGAAAGUUUCCUUUUCUUACCCAUCCCUUGCACCUCUUAUCCCAUCUAUAAAAUUAAAGCCCAUAGUUGGUGUGUACUUGAGUACUGGUGCCUGAUUUGAUACAUUAUAAGGCCUUUAAUUGGGUGGGGAAGGUUGAAGGGUUAUUUUACAACAAUUAUUCAAUAUUUGUACAAUAUUUGUACAACUUUGCGAACAUUUUUGGGCACUGGAAAUACCAGUGGCACUAUACAGCCACUUUCUAUCCUGAAUGUUUAAGAGCCUACAUAGGCAAUGAGCAACAGGGUUAAACAAGCACAGAAAGGAAGUGAUGUACCCA
This 1157-nucleotide long non-coding RNA is filed under the name Crocodylus porosus (Australian saltwater crocodile). Its description in RNAcentral is "lncRNA (ENSCPRG00005006369.1)". Lineage: Eukaryota; Metazoa; Chordata; Crocodylia; Crocodylidae. The record is from RNAcentral.